GGUUACAAUAGGAAAGGCACCAACAAGCCCAUCUUAUCGGAAGUUCUGUCUCUCUGGCCACAUUCUCUAGAUGGCCCUGCAAGGAGUUGCCAGACAAAUAUUCACAUUUAUAAGGAAAAUCUCCAUUUGUAAAGAUAAGGAAACUGAAGGCCAGAGGUCUUGAAUAACUCACCCAAUGUCAUAAAGCUGGUCAACGACUGAGUCAAAACGAAGACCCAGCCUUUUGGACUUCAAGAGUUAAUACUCAUAACCCUGUGGCCUGCAUGGGAUCCAGAUGUGCCUGGUGCUUCAGUCAGGGUCAAGGAGGAGUUGAGAGCUCUGUGGACCAGCUGUGAUGUGAAGCUGCUACAGAAGAGCCAUGACUCCAGCCAUGACCAUUCUCUGUUCACCAGACUAGAACCUGGACCAGAUCAGCCACUCCAGAGCAGAGACCAACAAGAAUCCAGAGGACACCCAGCGGAUCUGAGGCCUCCUUUCCCUCACUGCCACAAGUCAUGCAAGCAGGCCACCAUGUACCCAGGCACCAUUUUAGAAAG
Diceros bicornis minor is the source of this 536-nucleotide long non-coding RNA. RefSeq lists it as uncharacterized. The transcript is spliced from 3 exons. The record is from RefSeq and is a predicted model, not a curated record. NCBI's taxonomy places the organism in Eukaryota, Metazoa, Chordata, Mammalia, Perissodactyla, Rhinocerotidae.